UAAGGAAUAUUGGUCAAUGGACGCAAGUCUGAACCAGCCAUGCCGCGUGAAGGAUGAAGGUCCUCUGGAUUGUAAACUUCUUUUAUCUGGGACGAAAACGGGAUUUUUAUCUCAAUUGACGGUACCAGAGGAAUAAGCACCGGCUAACUCCGUGCCAGCAGCCGCGGUAAUACGGAGGGUGCGAGCGUUAUCCGGAUUUACUGGGUUUAAAGGGUGCGUAGGUGGGCUUAUAAGUCAGUGGUGAAAUCUCCGAGCUUAACUUGGAAACUGCCGUUGAUACUAUAGGUCUUGAAUUAUCUGGAGGUCAGCGGAAUAUGGCAUGUAGCGGUGAAAUGCUUAGAUAUGACAUAGAACACCAAUUGCGAAGGCAGCUUACUACAUAUAAAUUGACGCUGAGGCACGAAAGCGUGGGGAUCAAACG
Molecule: ribosomal RNA, 421 nt
Filed under: uncultured bacterium
Lineage: Bacteria
Description: bacterial SSU rRNA
Rfam family: Bacterial small subunit ribosomal RNA
Source: RNAcentral